UUAAGUUCAGCGGGUAUCCCUACCUGAUUCGAGGUCAAAUCGCAAUGGUCUUGGUGGAUGUGGGCCCGCAACAGCUUGCAAGUUGCAUGCGCUGCACAGAAAGCUAGGCGGGCCACCGCCAAUGGAUUUAAGGUGAGUCUGCAGGGCAGACAGACACCCAACACCGAGCAGGGCUCGAAGGUGUAGAUGACGCUCAAACA
This 200-nucleotide unclassified non-coding RNA is filed under the name Pleosporales sp. Its description in RNAcentral is "partial internal transcribed spacer 2". The record is from RNAcentral. Lineage: Eukaryota; Fungi; Ascomycota; Dothideomycetes; Pleosporales.